This is a long non-coding RNA of Perognathus longimembris pacificus (Pacific pocket mouse), 543 nucleotides long. RefSeq lists it as uncharacterized. The record is from RefSeq and is a predicted model, not a curated record. NCBI's taxonomy places the organism in Eukaryota, Metazoa, Chordata, Mammalia, Rodentia, Heteromyidae. The transcript has 2 exons.
GUGAGAGCCUCUGUGUACACAGUACAGUAGGGGGUGGGAGGCCAGUUAGGAAGAUUGUACAGAAGCAAUAAGAGAUGGUGGUUAUCUGGACUGGACCUGAAUGCAUACAUUCAAACCCAUUUCACAGAUGGAGUUCAUAAGAUUAACUAAUGGCUUGCUAUGCAUAAGGAAAAAAAAAAAGGCAUAGCCAAUUUGGAGAUCUACCUGUGCCCUUUCUGGGGAAGGAUAAAGAGGAGAAUAGAGACUGAGGAGGAAGAAAAUGGUUUUAUGGAAUGUAGGCUAAGUUGGAGUUAUGCUCACUUGCUACCUAAUGUCAAUUAACCCUGAACUUUCACAACUCUCCUACUAAACCACACAUUUUGAAUGAACAAUAACUGCUUCCAAUUCAUGUUGGCAUGCCCUACUCUGAACAUAAGUUCAAUUCACAUUUACCAAUUUAAUCAUCAAAAAGGAGGUCACUAGAAUAGCUAAAGCAUUCCUAAGAAACCAGUGUAGGUGGUAUCACAAUACCAGACCUCAAGCUCUACUACAGAGCUAUAUUAA